RNAcentral lists this ribosomal RNA (325 nucleotides) under uncultured eukaryote. Its description in RNAcentral is "partial 18S ribosomal RNA". It matches the Rfam family "Eukaryotic small subunit ribosomal RNA", at positions 1470 to 1796 of the family's 1831-position model. The record is from RNAcentral.
CCCUUAGAUGUCCUGGGCCGCACGCGCGUUACACUGAUGCAUUCAACGAGCUUAUAACCUUGGCCGAGAGGCCUGGGCAAUCUUGUUAACGUGCAUCGUGAUAGGGAUAGAUUAUUGAAAUUAUUAAUCUUGAACGAGGAAUUCCUAGUAAACGCAGAUCAUCAAUCUGCAUUGAUUACGUCCCUGCCCUUUGUACACACCGCCCGUCGCUCCUACCGAUUGAGCGAUCCGGUGAAUGUUUUGGACUGGUGUCCGCAAGCGUUUCGCUUCGGACGCUACGAAAUUUUGUAAACCUUAUCGCUUAGAGGAAGGAAAAGUCGUAACA